GCCUUCUUCAUUAACCCAAAUUUCCUCUUCGUAAAUGUCACCUGGAAAGAAAAAGAAAAAAAAGAAAAGAAAAAAAAAGCCUCUGUCAACGUACUGUGAAGAAAAAGUGGAUUGCCACCAAAUACAAAUUCAGGAAUUUUAAACAUACACUUCCCAUAGCACUGGCCUCACGUAUGCAUAACUGACAAACCAGGGUCUAACAGCUCUCACCUCAAGACCUGUAAGAGGAAAUUUUCUACUGGAAUGGAAGGUGUUUACCACAGAGAUACACCUACC
Molecule: long non-coding RNA, 276 nt
Filed under: Columba livia (rock pigeon)
Lineage: Eukaryota; Metazoa; Chordata; Aves; Columbiformes; Columbidae
Description: partial uncharacterized LOC102089928
Source: RNAcentral